RNAcentral lists this ribosomal RNA (313 nucleotides) under uncultured bacterium. Its description in RNAcentral is "bacterial SSU rRNA". It matches the Rfam family "Bacterial small subunit ribosomal RNA", at positions 28 to 334 of the family's 1533-position model. The record is from RNAcentral.
GAUGAACGCUAGCGAUAGGCCUAACACAUGCAAGUCGAGGGGCAGCACAUGAGUAGCAAUACGAUGGUGGCGACCGGCGCACGGGUGAGUAACACGUAUGCAACCUACCUUUAACAGGGGAAUAACCCGUUGAAAAACGGACUAAUACUCCAUAACACAGGGGUCCCGCAUGGGAAUAUUUGUUAAAGAUUUAUCGGUUGAAGAUGGGCAUGCGUUCCAUUAGCUUGUUGGUGAGGUAACGGCUCACCAAGGCUACGAUGGAUAGGGGAACUGAGAGGUUUAUCCCCCACACUGGAACUGAGACACGGUCCAG